UUUUUUAUUUGUUUUAUUAAUUUUAUUUUUUUGGUGUGACAUUAUGUAUUAGUGAGAGUCAAGAGUGAAUUUAGUGAAGACCUUCUUCUAUUAAUAUUAUAUGACUUUUUAAUUUUAAUGAACAUUUUAAUUGAUUGUUAUACAUAAUUGUACAAAUCUAUCUAUGAUAUCUCUAGCAUCCCUAACAAAUUCAACAAUAUUCCAAUUUACAGCUAAAUUAUUAUAGCUUUAAUAUUGCAAUAUUAAAUGAAUGAAUACUUUGGUUAUAUGUUCUUUCUUUUUUCUUUCACAUGCAAAAAGUACACAAAACCCAAAAUCUGUUGUUUGGUCCAACUGGCAUGAGUGGAAUAGAGCCAUAAGAACGGUGAAAGAAUACUCCGCUGAAAGUACAUCGACAUCCAGCCACAAUGUAUCUGAGCCUGCACUACAGACUGCAUGUUGAGCGCAUUGUGCCUAACCACAGUCAGUUGUGUGGCGGACUGGCUGUCUAGAUCCCAUGCAAAGAGGCCCCACCUGUUCAGUCAAAGCGACAGACAUAAAGACAGAUGGACACACACAUCUCCAAGCCCAACCAAACACCUCCCAGACAUCACACUCUCCUGACACCAGGUGGGCAUCUGCAGAUUUUAAUAUCAGCAGAUCUUUCCAAAUUAGCACUAGCCAAAUUUCUACAACAGGGCCAAGUGGAGCUCAUGCGAAUGAUCCACUGAACCAAAUCUCAUAAAACAUUUUAAAUCUCUUGAAUACUUGACAACACAUUGUGUAGCUUUGUUGUGUAUAUUUUCAUUCUGAAAGUGUCCCAAAAAUCCACAAUAAAUAUCAUACUGUAUAUUAACAGGUUUAAAUCCGUAUAUAAGUUAUUUUUUCUUAAUAAAAUAAAAUUCACAAAUUAAGAGCAGAGGCAAAUUGUGAUGCCUAUGAAGAGAAGACAAUGGAAGACCCUUAUUAUGGAAAUAAUAAUGCAUCAUCUACCUUUUUGGGUUACAAAGAAAAUCUGAUUCUUUGAUGAUGACAAAUAUGUAUUUUUUAAAUUUCUCCACAAAUAUAAAUCAAAAUGCAUACUAAAUGGAAAAUAGACUAAUUUACUAAUACACUAAUUUGGACCUAGUAGCAUGAGCAAAACGAUUAGAUUGGCGAAAGGGUUAUAAUGAUUCUCAUGCACAAUGUAUGUUUAACGUCCAUGUUCAAACUGUUUGUAUUUUUCAGAAACAAAAAAACUAAAUCUUUGCUGGAAA
Long non-coding RNA from Micropterus salmoides (largemouth bass), 1235 nucleotides. RefSeq lists it as uncharacterized. The transcript is spliced from 2 exons. The record is from RefSeq and is a predicted model, not a curated record. NCBI's taxonomy places the organism in Eukaryota, Metazoa, Chordata, Actinopteri, Centrarchiformes, Centrarchidae.